Long non-coding RNA from Galeopterus variegatus (Sunda flying lemur), 695 nucleotides. RefSeq lists it as uncharacterized. The record is from RefSeq and is a predicted model, not a curated record. The transcript is spliced from 2 exons. NCBI's taxonomy places the organism in Eukaryota, Metazoa, Chordata, Mammalia, Dermoptera, Cynocephalidae.
UGGAUCGUGGCUGACCUCGGGUAACCGCAACCACAGAGAGCAAAAGCACGGAUCAGAGGGGAUUACUGUAUAUACACACUGCACAUAUGUGCCAUACACGUAUAUAUUGAAACCACAGUGUUCACACAUUGGAAGACAACUGUGAAGCAAUGAUAUUGGACUCAUUAGUUCCCUUCUGCUGAUGAGGAAACAUCCUGGGGCCACAGAGCUCACCAGUGGUGUGCUGGGACUAAACCCAAGAGCUCUUUGUGACUCUAUGUCCAGGACAUUUUGACCACAUUGUCUCUUGACUGCCUCGAAACCACUGGCUCUUUCUCAGAGUGUUUACAGCAGCCAAAGAUAAACAGCCUGCGAAAGCCUAGAGAACAUCACGGUUUGUGCCCAUCAGUGGCCCAAACCAUUUUUAAAACAGUAAUUUAUUUAAUUUAACAAAAGCUUGAUUGUGAGCCAGAUGGGUGUCUUUUUUUUUUUUUUCCUCUUAACUGUAACAUAGGUCGGGCCUUCUGCAGAAAUUAAGACAUGCAGUUAAGCUGCAUAAUAUAAAAACCACUGCUUUGUUAAUGGAGCUCAUGACCCUCAUGGUUAGUUAGUCUUGGAGUGAGGAAAGAAUCAACUUCCCAGAAUUCUGUACUUAAAACAUGAAUCUUGUUUUCCUCUAAGUCUGUGAAGAUAAAUAAACAAGCUUGUCGGUUAGA